Molecule: ribosomal RNA, 245 nt
Filed under: uncultured bacterium
Lineage: Bacteria
Description: partial small subunit ribosomal RNA
Rfam family: Bacterial small subunit ribosomal RNA
Source: RNAcentral
AGAAUCAACGCUGGCGGCGUGCCUAACACAUGCAAGUCGCACGAGAAAGGGUAGCAAUACCUGAGUAAAGUGGCGCACGGGUGAGUAACACGUGACUAACCUACCCUUGAGUGGGGGAUAACCUAGAGAAAUCUGGGCUAAUACCGCAUAAUACCUUCGGGUCAAAGGAGCAAUUCGCUUAAGGAGGGGGUCGCGGCCGAUUAGUUAGUUGGCGGGGUAAUGGCCCACCAAGACUAUGAUCGGUA